Molecule: non-coding RNA, 46 nt
Organism: Trichobilharzia regenti
Lineage: Eukaryota; Metazoa; Platyhelminthes; Trematoda; Strigeidida; Schistosomatidae
Source: Rfam
AUCCAGUUGACGAAUCCCAAAUAGGAUGAAAUGCGCGUCCUAGUAU